This 332-nucleotide ribosomal RNA is filed under the name uncultured bacterium. Its description in RNAcentral is "bacterial SSU rRNA". It matches the Rfam family "Bacterial small subunit ribosomal RNA", at positions 568 to 898 of the family's 1533-position model. The record is from RNAcentral.
CGUGUAGGCGGUUUCUUAAGUCUGAUGUGAAAGCCCCGGGCUCAACCCGGGAAGUGCAUUGGAUACUGGGAGACUUGAAUACGGAAGAGGGUAGUGGAAUUCCUAGUGUAGGAGUGAAAUCCGUAGAUAUUAGGAGGAACACCGGUGGCGAAGGCGGCUACCUGGACCGAUAUUGACGCUGAGACGCGAAAGCGUGGGGAGCAAACAGGAUUAGAUACCCUGGUAGUCCACGCCGUAAACGAUGAGAACUAGGUGUUGCGGGUAUUGACCCCUGCAGUGCCGCAGCUAACGCAUUAAGUUCUCCGCCUGGGAAGUACGGUCGCAAGACUAAA